GAGUCCAGCGCUGAAUCGCUCAGUCUUAUGGCUGCUGUGAAAUGUAGCGUAUAGUGAUUACUGUCCGUCGGUGUCGGUUGUCCGAAGUCCUUUCGAUUUAGGCCAUAGACCAGAGAGGGUGCAAGUCCUGUUCUGGGCGACGAUGCUGGCGGUAUUGGUUUUCACUGGGAGUCGGGUUGCUUGAAAGUGCAGCCUAAAGUGGGUGAUAAACUUCAUCUAAGACUAAAUAUUGGCUCGAUUGCGAUAGCGAACAAGUACCGUGAGGGAAAGUUGCAAAGAACUUUGAAGAGAGAGUUCAAGAGAACGUGAAAUCACUAAAGUGUAACCGGAGACAGUCGAUGAUGCUUGGUGACUCGUAGUUGGCUUGCGCUCCCUCGGGAGUGCCGGUCGGUUGCUUCGUUGCCUAUGCAGCGCUGACGGCAUCGGUUGCUUGUUCUGAACGGUGUUGUGUUGCCCAGUCCUCACGGUCUGGUGUCUUGCGACUAUCGGAAGGUUCAUGGCGGCUGGUGUUCAACUUGUGCUUUGUGCAGGCGUCGGUGUAAAAGUCGAUCACGUUUCCGACCCGUCUUGAAACACGGAUAACGGAGUAUUUUUGCACUGCGAGUCAAAGGGUGUUAAAACCUUGCGGCGAAAUGAAAGUAAAGAUCGGCCUCGAGUCGGUCGACAUGAGAUCGUUGGUCCCGGUGGCUGACGCGCAUCAUGGCCCUAUGCGAGUUGCUUGCAACUGUGUAGAGGUUGAGCAAUGCGAAAGUGACCCGAAAGAUGGUGAACUAUUCCUGAGCAGGACGAAGCCAGAGGAAACUCUGGUGGAAGUCCGUAUCGGUUCUGACGUGCAAAUCGAUCGAUAGACUUGGGUAUAGGGGCGAAAGACUAAUCGAACCAUCUAGUAGCUGGUUCCUUCCGAAGUUUCCCUCAGGAUAGCUGGACUUUGGCACAGUUUUAUUCGGUAAAGCUAAUGAUUAGAGGUCUUGGGGACGUAAUGUCCUCAACCUAUUCUCAAACUUUCAAUGGAUAAGAUGUUGCAGUUUCUUCAUUGAACUGUCAACGUGAAUGUAAGGUCCAAGUGGGCCAUUUUUGGUAAGCAGAACUGGCGCUGUGGGAUGAACCAAACACGAAGUUAAGGUGCCUAACUUCUCGCUCAUGAGACCCCAUAAAAGGUGUUGGUUGAUAUUGACAGCAGGACGGUGGCCAUGGAAGUCGGUAUCCGCUAAGGAGUGUGUAACAACUCACCUGCCGAAUCAACUAGCCCUGAAAAUGGAUGGCGCUUAAGCGAGAGACCUAUACUUUGUCGUUACGGCAUGUGCGUUGUCUGACGUCAGGUCGGAACGAGUAGGAAGGACGUGGCGGUUGCGUUGAAGGCUAUGAGCGUGGGCUCGGCUGGAGCUUCCGUCAGUGCUGAUCGUUAUGGUAGUAGCAAAUAUUCAAGUUCGAUCCUUGAAGACUGAAGUGGAGAAGGGUUCCACGUGAACAGUAGUUGGAUGUGGGUCAGUCGAUCCUAAGGUACUAGCGAAUGCUUUGUAUCAUUGGUGGCGUAAAGCUUGCUUUUUGCCAUCAUCAUCGAAAGGGAAUAGGGUUAAUAUUCCCUGACUGUGAUGCAGAGAUUGUGAACUUCGGUUUACUAGCGCGGCAACGCAUUUGAACUUGGCUAGUCGCUCGACGACCGAGCUAGAGUUUUCUUCUCUAGUUAAGGAACGGACUCCCUGGAAUUGGUUCAGCCAGAGAUGGGGACGUUGUUUCCGAAAAGCACCGCGGUUUCUGUGGUGUCUCGUGCUCGUCGAACGGCCCUUUAAAUGCCAAGGGAAGCUAUCAAUCUGCACACAAUCGUACCGAUAUCCGCAUUAGGUCUCCAAGGUGAACAGCCUCUAGUCGAUAGAAUAAUGUAGGUAAGGGAAGUCGGCAAACUAGAUCCGUAACUUCGGGAAAAGGAUUGGCUCCAGUGGUCGGAUCGAUUGGCCGUAUUGUUGACGCUUGCUCGGCGUCGUUCUGUUUGCUAGUUGUCCCUCGUGGAUGGCUGGCGGGCUAGUGACGAUGCUGACUUGUGGACGCUUUGCGGUGUGUGCUUUGACUUCGGUCUUAGUAUCCUGAUCGGUCACUUUAACGACCAAACUGGAACCGGUACGGACUCAGGGAAUCCGACUGUCUAAUUAAAACAGAGGUGACAGAUGGUCCUUGCGGACGUUGACUGUCACUGAUUUCUGCCCAGUGCUCUGAAUGUUAAAUCGUAGUAAUUCGAGUAAGCGCGGGUAAACGGCGGGAGUAACUAUGACUCUCUUAAGGUAGCCAAAUGCCUCGUCAUUUAAUUGGUGACGCGCAUGAAUGGAUUAACGAGAUUCCUACUGUCCCUAACUACUAUCUAGCGAAACCACAGCCAAGGGAACGGGCUUGGAAAAAAUAGCGGGGAAAGAAGACCCUGUUGAGCUUGACUCUAGUUUGACAUUGUGAAGAGUCAUGAGAGGUGUAGCAUAGGUGGGAGACUUCGGUCGACAGUGAAAUACCACCACUUUCAUCGACUCUUCACUUAUUCGGUUAAAAGAGAAUUGGUCUUCGGACCAUUUUUCGAAGCGUUAAGCAGUGCCACUCUGUGGCGCUGUGACUCUCCGCGAAGACAGUGUCAAGCGGGGAGUUUGACUGGGGCGGUACAUCUAUCAAAUCGUAACGUAGGUGUCCUAAGGCGAGCUCAGAGAGGACGGAAACCUCUCGUAGAGCAAAAGGGCAAAAGCUUGCUUGAUCUUGACUUUCAGUACGAGUACAGACCGCGAAAGCGUGGCCUAUCGAUCCUUUUAAUCCAGAUUGUUUCUGGUAAGAGGUGUCAGAAAAGUUACCACAGGGAUAACUGGCUUGUGGCAGCCAAGCGUCCAUAGCGACGUUGCUUUUUGAUCCUUCGAUGUCGGCUCUUCCUAUCAUUGCGAAGCAGAAUUCGCCAAGCGUUGGAUUGUUCACCCACUAAUAGGGAACGUGAGCUGGGUUUAGACCGUCGUGAGACAGGUUAGUUUUACCCUACUGUUGACUUGUUAUUGCGAAAGUAAUCCUGCUUAGUACGAGAGGAACAGCGGGUUCAAACAUUUGGUUCAUGGACUUGGUCGACAGGCCAAUGGUCCGAAGCUACCAUUUGAGAGAUUAUAACUGAACGCCUCUAAGUUAGAAUCUCGCCUUGUCAAGGCGAAAAUGUUUUGCUUCCCGGUGUCGGGAGGCAAUGUUAUCUCGUGUUAUGCACGAGAGCUUAUGCCCUAGUAAUGGCCUUGGCAAAUAGGUGAUGAACUUGUUUGCCUGCCAACGCCAGAAAACUCUGGUUCAAUGUCGGGGUGCAAAAUCACUUGUAUACGACUUGGUCUUUUGGUCAAGGUGUUGUACUCAGUAGAGCAGUUUUUUUAUGCUGCGAUCUGUUGAGACUAU
This 3393-nucleotide ribosomal RNA is filed under the name Caenorhabditis plicata. RNAcentral's name for it is "eukaryotic LSU rRNA". It matches the Rfam family "Eukaryotic large subunit ribosomal RNA". Lineage: Eukaryota; Metazoa; Nematoda; Chromadorea; Rhabditida; Rhabditidae. The record is from RNAcentral.